RNAcentral lists this ribosomal RNA (481 nucleotides) under uncultured bacterium. RNAcentral's name for it is "partial 16S ribosomal RNA". It matches the Rfam family "Bacterial small subunit ribosomal RNA", at positions 28 to 523 of the family's 1533-position model. The record is from RNAcentral.
GACGAACGCUGGCGGCGUGCUUAACACAUGCAAGUCGAGCGGUAAGGCUCCUUCGGGAGUACACGAGCGGCGAACGGGUGAGUAACACGUGAGCAAUCUGCCCUUCACACGGGGAUAACCCUCGGAAACGAGAGCUAAUACCCGAUACGACCACCUCAGGCAUCUGAUGGUGGGGGAAAGUUCCGGCUGGGAAGGAUGAGGUCGCGGCCUAUCAGCUUGUUGGGGGGGUAACGGCCCACCAAGGCAACGACGGGUAGCCGGCCUGAGAGGGUGACCGGCCACACUGGGACUGAGACACGGCCCAGACUCCUACGGGAGGCAGCAGUGGGGAAUAUUGGACAAUGGGCGAAAGCCUGAUCCAGCAACGCCGCGUGAGGGAUGACGGCCUUCGGGUUGUAAACCUCUUUCAGCAGGGACGAAGCGCAAGUGACGGUACCUGCAGAAGAAGCACCGGCCAACUACGUGCCAGCAGCCGCGGUAA